GACUCUUUCGGGCCUCUGUUCACUGUGGGCGCCGCUCGCCGUCUCCCUCCCGGCCUUUUCUGCCGCAGCCGAAGCCGCCGCCUCCUUCUCUUCCUCCUCCAUCUCGAGCUCGUGUUGCUCGGCUCGCAGCUGGUCUGUUCCCGAAGGGGAGAUCCCAGGCCUCCGACCGCCAUGUCCCGCUAUACGCGGCCUCCCAACACCUCGCUCUUCGUCAGGAACGUGGCGGACGCCACUAGGCCUGAGGAUUUGCGCCGUGAAUUUGGUCGAUAUGGCCCUGUAGUAGACGUAUACAUUCCGCUUGACUUCUACACAAGACGCCCACGAGGAUUUGCUUAUAUACAGUUUGAAGAUGUUCGUGAUGCAGAAGAUGCUCUUUAUAACCUCAAUAGAAAGUGGGUAUGUGGCCGGCAAAUUGAAAUACAGUUUGCACAAGGGGAUCGCAAAACCCCAGGUCAGAUGAAGUCAAAAGAACGUCGCCAAUGUUCUCCAAUGGAUUACAGAAGAUCAAGAAGCCGCAGCCGAAGGAGGACACGUAGCCGAAGUUCAUCAUGGGGCUGGAGUAGAAGACACUCUGACAGCUUUAAAGAGCAUUCCAGCUCACCAAGACGAUCAAUCACACCUCAAAGAAAUUCUACCUCUCGAGGAAGAUCGCGGUCAAAAUCAAUGCAGAGAUGUUCAAAAUAUGCUGAGAAAUCGCCCUCCAGCUCCCAUCGAAGACGUUCUACUUCAAGGACAAAGUCACGCUCACAUCCAAAGCGCUCAGGUUCAGUGACCAGAUCGCUAUCUAAAUCUCCACGAAAACAUGCCAACUCCAGUUCUCGUUCUAGAAGUUUCUAUCAGAGAAAUAGUAACCAGUCAGUAUCUGAAGAAGAUUAAUGUGUUUUUCUAACAGUUUUUUAUGAGCACAAAUUAAGAACAAAAUUUGUCCAAAUGUACCUGAAAUGUAAGAUAAUUGAUUAAUGAGAGGUGUUGCUAUGUUCUUUGGGUCCAUAUUUUAAUAAGCAGAGCUCUUCAAAAUUUGCUAGCAUUAAAUAAACAUUUAUUUAGCCUAGAUUAGUUUCUCUUAACAAUACAAUUUGAACCUAGGCUCACUCUACUGGUAUAAGCUAGCAUUAUGCUCUGCUCUUAAAUCAAGUUUUCUUUUUUGGACAGAAUUGUCUUUGGACCUUUCUUUCAAAUCUUUGGAACAGCAAGAAAUUUAUGCUACUGUAAUUUUGUACUGGCUUAAGGGUUCACACAGGUCUGUCUGGUACUUUGUAGUGGAGUUGGAAGGGAAAGCCUUUGUCUACCCAUUUCUACUUACUUUAGUAGGUAUUGCAGUAUAGUUGUGUCAGCCAGAAAUAUGGAGAUGCUGAUGGAUCAGAUUUUCCAUUCCACCAAUGCAAGUCAUUCCCCCUCCCCCUGAAAUUUCCAAGCAACAUUUAAGAGGAGAUGAGCAUGCAGAAGAACCAUAACCAACAAAGUUCUUAUGGUCUCAGGUUGCUUGAAAGGACUGGUGCCAUAUAGGGGAAAUUCUGCAGUGUUCUUCUUAUUGUGAGUGUUAGCUUUUGAAGAUUAAUGCUGUCAUGAAGAGCUCUUACACUAGAGACAUUCCCCCAAGCUGUUUUGCAUUGUUGGGAAUGUUACAACCAUUUCCUUUCUACAUCUCUCCAAGAUGAUGCAUGGAUGGAACGGAAAUAACUUAUUUUAUUUCAGAACUUAGUAGUCUGAUACAGCAGACAUGCACUUAGAAUUAACUGAGUUCACAAUUCUUAUAUAUGAACAUAACCUCUGGUUAUCCCCAGAAUUCCUUUAUUAGCAGCAUAACUUGGAUUGGGAGUUAUUUUGUUACUGCUUGUUAAACAGGUGUGACAUUACAAGUGUGACCUGAUUGGCAAACCAGAAGCCUGGUAGCUUACGUGCUUCAUUUAUUAUUGGCCAACUUUGGUCAUUGAGAUAGCACAAACUUGUAUGUGACUAUUCUGAAGUAAUCCUCAGUAAUGUUAUUGAAGGUGAUGAUCAUUUAUCGCUAAAUCAGAAUGACAUGCUGCUAAAUUCAAUUAAAUCACUGUUAUGAUUUGGUAUGUACAUAUAUACCACCCUCUCAGCUUUGUAAGACAGGAAGCAGUUCCAGAUAAACUAAUUCUACUUUAUUACAUAAUCUUUCAAGUCUGAAAGUACAUUUCUCUUGGUUGCUUUUACAGCCCCAGAAAUUAGGGAGAGGAUCCCUUCUAAGAGGUUUGCAACACCCACACUCCUGUGGGCUAACUGCUCCUCUGGGUAUGGCUCUUCUCUGUUUCCCAGUCAUUCCCACUGACCUUUCGGGCUCAGUUUGUAGCUCUGUGCUCUUUUAUGGGAAAGGGCAGAUCUUUGGAGAAGCCUCAAACUUCCUUAAUCUCUCUCUAAAAAAAACAAAAAAAUCCUACCAUGUUUCUCCCUGCCCAUUGUCACUCUGGGACUGUAACUGGGGUGCUGGGAAUAAGGUGAUACCUGUGGAUUACUCAUCAACCAGCAAGACUAUGGUUUAUUUGUUAACUAUAGAUAUGCAAGUGUUACGUAAACACAGUCUGUGUAUGAAAUAAGAGGCAGCCAAUGCAUAUAGCUCCUGCAAUCACCUGUAUUUACUCUUAACCAUGAGAAUACUUCUUUCUUUUCCUCAUCAUUUAAACAAAUUGCAAAGUAGGAUUGCCCGAUAAAUUGUAUUUUACAUUCCCGAGGACUGAGAGAAAUAGCAGAAAGGCUGCAUUAGGCACUGUUUUUUUCAAAGCACUUUAUCAGACAAUAUUACAAAACUUUAAAUUUUUGCAAUUACCUCAUGUGUAUAGUAAUUAUUAUAGACAGGGCUGGGCAAAAUCUUGACAAAUAAAAAAAACUCUAUGAACCUAAGCAUAAAUCUAUGAGCUGAAGCAGAUAUCAUCUUGAUUCACCCCAGCUGUUGAAUUCAGAAAAAGCUGAAAUCAAAAUGAAUUCAGGUGAGGUUAAGCUAUAAAACAGUAUAAGCAAUUUGCAGUCUGUGGACUAUUUGUAACCCUCAACCCUUUUAUUUUUAAAAAAUACCCGAGCCUACAAAAAUGGCCUUGUAUGCCUUGAAAUAAGCUUAACAGUCAAAAAUGCAAAGAAACUUGCAAGGUGUCUCCUGAAAGGCAGGGCUAGGGAUAAUAGGACAACAACUGUAGCCAGGAUUUUGUCCACUCUUUUCCCAUAGGCAUCAGACUGCAUUCCUAGACAGCAUCUCUGAUAUGAGUAGAUCUUUCUUCUAGGGUCAUAGAUAACCAUCUGCAAUUAUGUGCUGAUGAAAUUGAAGCUGCCUCCUACUCAUCUUCCUUCAAAUUGGGCAUGACUCAAAUCACGCAGUCUCCUAGGCAAAUUUUCAGAAGUGAGUUGCCAUUGCCUUCUUCCCAAGGCUAAGGGAUGGUGACUGGCUUACAGUUACCCAAUUGGCUUUUUGUUGAGGAACCCAGAAAUGAUGGAAAACAGCUUCUUUGGCAUUAGCUUCUUUUUGUUUUCUCUGCAAUUUUUACUUAUACCCAAUUUGGUUUCUUCUGUUUCUUGUUCUUUGGCAAUGUCUUUUCAUAUUCACUGAUAAUGGUUUUAUUUCAUACUGUAGUUUGUCUGGUAACUGAUUCACUAUCAGUGGAGUUCAAGAUUUCAAAGCAAUUCCUGAUAUUCUCUUUGAAAAUGGUUAUAAGCUUAAGAUCAUAUCGUGGAAAUUGGUUGUAGUUCGUGAUCUAUUCCAUAGUCUGUCUACAUGAGCAAUUCAUGAUCUUUACUGUAGAACUGAGCUGUUCCAAUGCCUUGUACCAAUAAUAUUGUCAGUUUGAUUUCUAUGUAACCCCAAUGGUGUCCAUGUACGUAGGUGGUGUUCUGAUUGUUUGAAGAUCAUUUGGCUUUUUAAAAAUUCAUUGAAACAGUUAAAA
Molecule: non-coding RNA, 3896 nt
Organism: Notechis scutatus (mainland tiger snake)
Lineage: Eukaryota; Metazoa; Chordata; Lepidosauria; Squamata; Elapidae
Source: RefSeq, a predicted model, not a curated record